This 1302-nucleotide long non-coding RNA is filed under the name Salmo salar (Atlantic salmon). RNAcentral describes it as "lncRNA (ENSSSAG00000084621.1)". The record is from RNAcentral. Lineage: Eukaryota; Metazoa; Chordata; Actinopteri; Salmoniformes; Salmonidae.
CCCGACCAGGCAGGGCCUCAGGCAGUCUGUAGUUUCCAUUCUGAUGAUCAACCUGUUUUUCUCUCCUGCUAAUUUUACCUCCUUAGAGGAAAUUGCUUUUCUUUCUGAUGUUAUUGUACGUGCAGCUAAAUUUCAUGAAACAUGGGACCUACAGGUACCAUUCCACAAGCUUCCCACAAUAAGUUGGGUGAAUUGUGGCCCAUUCCUCCUGACAGAGCUGGUGUAAUUGAGUCAGUGCACCAGCCCCUCCUGCAGCAAAGCACCCCCACAACAUGAUGCUGCCACCCCCGUGCUUCACGGUUAGGAUGGUGUUCUUCGGCUUGCAAGUGUAGCAGUGUGAUGUUGUUAAUUAUUCACCAAGUUGCACACAAUGACCAGUUCAAAUAGGCCAGGUCAAGAGGGGAUGUUAAUAAUUUGAUAAUAAUAAUAAUAGUGAUUUUUUUUUUAAUGUAAUUACAGCUGCAUAGCUAAUGUUACUUUUUUUUGUAGAAACACUUUUUCACAUCUAUAUUGUAAAUACACUUGAUUGUAAAACUUUUGUAGAUUUUGGUUUGGUCAAUUGUGGGUUAUCUUUAUUUCUGUACCCCCCUAUUGUUCUCUCUUGCCUGACCGUCAGCUAGUGAGGUAUGUUGUCCUUGGCUCUGCAGUUUUUCAAUAUAAAACCAUAAGUUUUGUUACAAUGUGGACAAUAUAAAUAUUUAUGUUAACAAGUUUUACCGAGCUCGCUAACUAGGGUACCUAUUGUAACUUGUGGGUACUUGGGACAGUGUUUGAGGGAGUUUCCAUGUGCUCGCACAGGUGCCUGAGAGCUGUGACUGCGCCAAGUGCUAACGUAUUGUGCGUUGUAUAUUCGUGCGCAGCUAGCGAGGUGCCUGCGAGCUGUGACUGCGCCAAGGGCUAACAUAUUGUGCAUUGUCUCUUCGUGUGCAGGGCAAAUAAAAAUCAAAAAAGCAGACCUUCAGUUGUGGCAGUGUCCUUAUUACAUUAUACAAUGCAGAACGAACCAUGCUACACAAGCCUCCCCCUUAUUCUUCCAAACAUAACGAUGGUCAUUAUGGACAAAAGAUUUUUGUUUCAUCAGACCAGAGGACAUUUCUCCAAAAAGAACGAUCUUUGGCCCCAUGUGCAGUUGCAAACUGUAGUCUGGCUUUUUUAUGGCUGUUUUGGAGCAGUGUCUUCUUCCUUGCUGAGUGGCCUUUCAGGUUAUGUCGCUAUAGGACUCGUUUUACUGUCAAUUUGUAACGGCUGUCUUCGGGUAGAGAGGACCAAAACGCAGCAGGAAUGUGGAUGCACAUCUUGAAU